GUUCUCUCUGAAGGGAAGAGUGCAGAAAAUGGGGCUCUUCUACUUCCGAGUCUUCUCUCUUGCGGCGAUUUAGAGGUUGCGUCACGGAGACGCAGCUCAGCUCCUCUAUAAAAGCGCUGAGACUCUCUUUCCUCCUUCCGCCUCUGCCGUAUCCUGAUCCGGUAAGGUUUUCUUUUUGAUUGCCCAUCGGAUCUGGUCCCGCUCCGAUCUUCUAGAGAUUGAGGCGGUCUUCAUUCUCUCUGAACGGAAGAGUGCAGAAAAAGGGGCUCUUCUACUUCUGAGUCUUCUCUCUUGUGGCGAUUUAAAGGUUGCGUCACGGAGACGCACCUCAGCUCCUCUAUAAAAGCGCUGAGACUCUCUUUCCUCCUUCCGCCUCUGCCGUCUCCUGAUCCGGCCGAAAAUGCUAAAUUACCCUCAUCCUGCUGUAUAAUUGUCUCAGGAUUGCUCUGUUGGGCUCUUAUAAAGCAAUGGAUCCAAAUGUUGCACGAGCUGUUGAGUAAUUUCCAACUGGUUUUGGUGAUUUGCUUUUAUUAGUUGAGAUAAAAAAAUAAAACGAAUUAUUAAUUAUUAAUUUGGUUUCGGCAUUUAUAAAAAAAAAAAGUUUGUAUUUGAAAAAUAUUUUUGUAGUUAGACGAGCAAAGAAGAAAAAUGUUUUUGAUAAUAGUUAAAUUCAAAAUUUAAAAUAAAAAAUCACACUCAAUACAUCUUGGUGCUGGAUUCAAAUAUUUUCUUUCGAAAAAAGAAACUUACGUACGUGUAUUAAUAUCGGUGCCUGUGCGCAUUUACAAAAUUUUUACGAGUCUGCUAGAUUCAAAUAAUGUAUCGUUCUUGUUUCUCUCACGCUUUUUGGUUGUAUUUGAGCAAUAAUUUGUCAGAGGCAGCAAGCCAGAUCUGGAAAUAUGGCAAGUUUUUAGAAAUUGGUGCUGCGCGUUUAAUCAUCUUUAACCAACAAGAUCUUAUGCUGGUUUUCAGGUAAUUCUCUUUUGUUUCGCUCCCUUUCAAUCUUCUUUAAGAUCUCAGAAUGGAAGUCCCCAGCUUCCUAUCUCUUAGUCUCCUCUUAAACCUGAAGGUCAUUAUUUUUGGCCCGUCCAACAGUUAUGUUGCAGUCAAGAGAAAGGUUUCCAGGAUAUGCUUGAGAUGCUUGCCUCGUACAAGGAGGGGGUGUGUACCAUGUGGGAACCGUGUUCCCAUAAUCUUGAUUCUGUCCGGUUCCAUCCAAAGUGCAUAAAGAAACCUAGUUCCCACGCUGGAAACUGAUAACAGUGCUCGGUAUUUUAUGUUUAUUACCAGUUAUUGUUAAUUUAUUGCGCGACUUUCAUGGGAGUUGUAUCAAUAUGUCUUGAUCCCUUUUCUUGUUCUUUGAUUUACCGGGACCAUAUUCUGAAAAUAUUGUAAUCGUCGCUCGGUAAGGGUAUGGAUUGCUGGUUCAAGAGGUUUGCAAUAUCUAUUUACACUCGUAUCACUUGGUGCUGGAUUCAUAUGUUUUUCUUCUGUAUUAAAAAGUUACGUAUGUGUAUUAAUAUUGGUACCGAGGGGGCACUGCGCACUUACAAAAUUUUUACAAGUCCGCUGGAUUAAAAUAAUGUGACGUGCUUUGUUCCUCUCGGCGCUUUUUGCUUGUAUUUGAGCAAUCAUUUGUUAGAGGCAGCCAGGCCAGAUCUGAAAAUAUGGCAAGUUUUUAGAAAUUGAUGCUGCGCCUUUUAGUUGCCAACACGUUCUUAUGUUGGUUUUCAGGUAAUUCUCUUUUGUUUCACUCCCUUUUAUUCGUCUUUAAGAUCUCGGAAUGGAAGUCCUCAGCUUCCUUGUCCCCCGCAUCUUUGAGUCUCAUCUUAAAGCUGAAGGUCAUUAUUUUUGGCCUGUCCAGCAGUUUUGUUGUGGUUGAGAGAAAGGUUUAAAGGAUGCAUGAGAUGCUUGCCUCGUACAAGGGUGUCUAUUAUGUGGGAACCGUGUUCCCAAAAUCUUGAUUCCGUCUGGUCCAUAGUCCCUGCAAAGUCAUUCCAUCCAAAGUGCAUAAAGAAACAUAGUUCCCACGUUGGAAACUAAUAGUGUUGUUCCUUUCGACUUUUGUUACCAGUUUAUUUUUUGUUUGAUGUUCGCGGGAGUUGUAUCAGUAUGUCUUGAUCCCUUUUCUUGUUUUUUGAUUUACAGGGACCAUAUUCUGACAAUAUUAUAACGCUCGCUCGGUAAGGGUGUGGAUUGCUGGUUCGAGAGGUACGCGACAUCUCUAUUUACACUCGUAUCACUUGGUGCUGGAUUCAAAUAUUUCUCUUUGGAAGUAAAAGUUACGUAUUUUUUUAAUGUUGGUACCAAAGGGGUACUGCUGCGCAUUACAAAAAUUUCUACAAGUCUGCUAGAUUCAAAUAAUAUUUCUCUCACGCUUUUUGGUUGUAUUUGAGCAAUAAUUUGUCAGAGGCGGCAGGCCAGAUCGGGAAAUAUGGCAACUUUUUAGAAAUUGAUGCUGCGCGUUUACUUUACCAACAAGUUCUUAUGUUGGUUUUCAGGUAAUUCUCUUCCGCCCCGCUCCCUUUUAAUCAUCUUUAAUAUCUCAGCAUGGAAGUCCUCAGCUUCCUUGCCCCCCGGGCCCCACUUCUUUUAGUCUGCUCUUAAAGCUGGAGGUCAUUUUUUUUUGACGUUUGUUGUAGUCAAGAGAAAGGUUUCUAGGAUGCAUGAGAUGCUUGCCUCGUACUAGGGUGUCUUUUAUGUGGGAACCAUGUUCCCGUAAUCUUGGUUCUGUCUAUGGUUCGUAGUCCCAUAUGAACGAGGAUGCUGUGUUCUCGGGAUUUUUAUCUGAUGCGAGAAAGGUCGUCAUUCUUUAUUUCGAAGCCACAUUAGAUUGAUUUUGUGUCCCGGUAAAAGUGCCCUACUUUAUUUUAUUGAAAGUGAGAGUAAAUUGAUUUAUUGUUUCAAAAUAAAUUUGCGUCCGUGUUUAAUGGAAAAUUUUACGAUUUCUUCGGAGAAAGUAGAAUUCCCCAUGUCCUUCGGGUAGUUGGAACUUAAAAAGAAUGUGCUUGGAUCUUCUAACAGCAAGUAAAUAUUUUUGGGCAUUGUUUUAAGGUUCUUGCUUCCUUUGGUAGAAAAUAAUUUUUUAUGGUGUUCCGGUCCUGAAUUAUUGCUCAGAAACUGAAAGCAUGUUUUGUAAAUCUUUUAAAAAAUAAAUGAGCUUGAUGAACAAGAAAAUUUCCCAUUCUUGAGAAAACAAAAAAUGUUCCCUGGUCCCCCGGGUAGCACCAACUGUGAGAAAAUGUGUCUUGAGCAUUUUGAUUCCUAGUAAAUAUGUUUAUGUGUGUCGCUUCGGCAGUGAAAGCUAUCGUGAUGGGCACCCUUUCUCUCUUAGACGUUGCAAUUGGAUUUUCUAGUAUUUGAUAACCAUUUACAAAAGAUAUGUAUGCUCGGUUUUUGGAACUUUCAGAUGUAGUUUAUUGGAGAAAUGUUGUUGGUAUGUGUUUUGAAGCUUCAUUCAUGAAAUAUAGUUGGUGAAGGAUCAUUGUGGGCCGGGUCUCUUGAGUAGAAAACAUUAUUUCUGCAGCCCUUGCAUGCACGAUGAAUGUUUUAUCUGAGAUUCUCGGUCCAAAAUGUAAGAGCUUCAAUUCCAUAUUAACUACAUUUCAGUCCCAAAAUACUAGGGAAGCCAAUAUUUCAUUUUGAAAGUUAAAGGGUGUUGAUGUGUGUUUUGAAGCUUCAUACAUGAAAUAUAGCCGGUGAAGGAUCACUGUUGGCCGGGUCUCUUGAGUAGAAAACAGUAUUUGUGCAGCCCCUGCAUUCACAAUGAAUGUUUUAUUUGAGAUUCUCGGUCCAAAAUGUAAGAGCUUCAAUUCCAUAGUAACUACCUUUUCAGUCCCAAAAUACCAGGAAAGCCAAUAUUUCAUUUUGAAAGUUAAAGGUUGCUGAUGUGUGUUUUGAAGCUUCAUUUAUGAAAUAUAGUUGGUGAAGGAUCAUUAUUGGCCGGGUCUCUUGAGUAGAAAACAUUAUUUCUGCAGCCCGUGCAUUCGAAAUGAAUGCUCUAUUUGAGAUUCUCGGUCCAAAAUGUAAGAGCUUCAAUUCCAUAUUAACUUACUUUCAGGCCACAAAAAUCUAGGACAGGCAAUAUUUCAUUUUGAACGUUAAAGGUUGUUGCUGUGUGUUUUGAAGCUUCAUUUAUGAAAUAUAGUUGGUGAAGGAUCAAAAUUGGCCGGGUCUCUUUGAGUAGAAAACAUUAUUUGUGCAGCCCUUGCAUUCACAAUGAAUGUUUUAUUUGAGAUUCUGGGUCCAAAAUGUAAGAGGUUCAAUUCCAUAUUAACUACCCUUUAGUCCUAGGAAAGGCAAUAUUUCAUUUUGAAAGUGGAAGUUUUUGUCGAUAUUUCAAAACAAACUUAUGUGCCUCGGUGCAUGAGAACGUGAAUCUUGAUUUUUUGUGGCAAAAUGAAACUGCUUGCAACCCUCAAGAUGUACAGCCUCAAAAAGAUGUGGCUUAAAAUCUCAAGCCAAAGUUUGGGUGCGUCGGUUUGAAAGUGAGAGUUUCUUUGAUCACGCACUUUCUUUUGGAGAGUUAGGCGACGUUUCACUUAGUGGUGGCAAUAUGCUCUCCCAAUCUAUUUUUAGCGCGGACAGAAAAAGUUUCGUGCUAGGUUAUGGGAAUCGUCAUUAUACGUGGAAGAGGUUGCCGUUCUUUAUUUUGAAGCCACAUCGAUAAUCUAGUUGCAGCGUUUUUCCUCUGUAGAGGUGCCCCGAUUCGAUAUUUUGAAACCGACACUGUAUUUACUGAUUCUUUUAAAAUAAGUGUGCCCCUCGGUAUUCAAGCAGAAGUUUCUCUGUUUUUUGGGGAAGAGUAAAAUUGCUCUGUUCUCUUGGUUGGUUGGAACAUAGAAAGCAAUAUGUUUGGAUCUUUUGAUUGCAAGUAAAUAUUUUUUCGGCACGUGGUUUUAAAGCUUUUUGGCUUUUGUUAAAGAAUAGUUUUUUUAAAAAAAUAUAUAUACAAAAGAAUAGUUUCCUGUUUUGGAAGUUUCCUGGUUUGGGAAGUAAAUGAGACUCAAUUUAUACUUUAAAACCUAAAAGCUGUUUUUAUGCAUUAUUUAUGGAUAAAUGUGUGACUUGAUGCACAAGAAAAUGAAUUUUGAUUUCUUGGGGCAAUGUAAAUCUGCUUGGGUCUCUCUCGCAGUUCCAAGUUUUAGAAAAACUUGCAUUGACAAAGAUUUGAGGAUAUUGUGACAGCACCACUUCUGACACGGUAACUUGCUUUCAAUAUUUAGUUUACGUAAGGCAUACGAGAUGUGUUUUGAAGGUUUUGAAACCCAUGGUCUGUUGCUGCGAAAAUAUAUCAUUCGGAGUCCCGUAUUCAGAAAGUAAAAGGCCUCGAUUAAUCUUUUCGAAAGCUAGCCUGUCCAUUUAUUUUUUGAAAACGAUUUUUUUUGUUGGUCCCCUGAGCAAAUGUUCCUCAAUUUUUUGGGGCAAUGUGAGAUUUUGCAAAAUGUCCCUUGGAUAAUUCUUUCUCUAGCAAAAUGUCCCUUGAUCUUUUAGUUGGAAGUAACUAUUCUUUGCUAUGUUGGUUUAAUUAAAGUUUCUCUUGAUCUUUUGCUUUCGAAAUAAAUCUGCAGGUGUCCCCACAGGGAAAUUGUAGCAGUUGGAAAAGUAAGUGGAGGUCAAGUAAUUUUUUUAGAAACUGAAGGCGUGUUCUAUCGAUUAUUUUGAAAGAUAAGUGUGCCUUGGUGCAAAAGAAAAUGACUUUGGAUUUGCUGCAGCAAAGCAAAACUUUUUUGAUGCCCUGGGUUUUCGGAACUCUAAAAGUUGUGGUUUGGACUCUUGAUUCAAAGUAAGUGUUUUUGAGAAUACGUUGGUUUAAAGGAAAAGUAACUCUGAUAACAAACACCCUUUCUCUUGGAGAGUUGGCAGCCUUUCUCUACGUAACUGGCAGUGUGCUUUCUCAAUCAUUUUAUUGCUACGGGCGUAAGACAUGAUUGCUCGGUUAAAGGAGAUAUUCAUUUUAUUUGAGAAAGGCCUUCGUUCUUGAUUUGGGAGCCAAUUUAAUGAACUUCAGUAAAAGUGGGCGAAUUCAUUGACUCGCAAAUGAGAGUGCUUUGGUUUAUUGUUUCAAAAUAAAUGUACUUUGACUCCUAGGCAACGGUUUUUUAAAUUUCUCGGGAAAAAGUAAAAUUCAACCCGUCGCUCGGCCAGUUGGAGCUCAAAAAAAGCAUGCAUGUAUGCUGAAUUUGUCUUGGUUCUAAUCAUUGUUCUAAUGUAGGUCUUCAAAAAAUUGACCGAGAAAACUAUUUGAGAGAACCAAACCUUCGAAGUCUAUCGGACCCAAAGUGUAGUAGUCUAACCAAACUUCAGACCUUGUGGGAUCUUUUCUCUGUUUUCCUUUUUUUUUUUAAAGCAAUAUCUGUGGUUAAAAGAGAUUGGUACGUUUAACAUGCAAGGCAACUACGGAGCCUGGCGUAACCGCGUCAAUAUUAUGUUGCUGACUUUUCUUUGCUGUAGGUACUUAGUGGGAAACUUGUUUAAGCGGAAAGAACGGAGUUUGUUCCAGUGGCUAUCUACACAAACAACGUGUGCUACGCGGAAUGUGAGUAUUAUGUUACCCUGGAUUGUCUUGAAAAUAUUUCUCUCGCUUUUACUUUGUUUAAGAAACAUUUGUAGUUGUACAAAAUUAACGUUUAGAACAUGCGAGACGGUUAAAAAGCUACAGAUAACAGGGUAUGCUCAUUUUGCCAGCCUUUCCUUGGUGCAGCAAAUUGGAGCGAGGGUGAAGCCUUCCUAAGUGUAGAGCUACAGAUUGAAGGUUUUUGGACCCUACUUUAUUUAAUUUAAUAGUGGAACUUAUCCUUCUUGGAAAAUAGUAAAAGAGGCAAUCGGACCUGCUUUGUUGUUGUUUACUAGAGACGUGUUACUGAAAGGAACAAAUGAGGUUUCUUCCCAUUGCUGGUUGUGCAGGUGACGAGUGCGGCUGCGUGGCUUCUGAGUGUGAUUUUACUCCGUGUACAUUAUCAGGGAAUGGAGUUUUUACUCUUACCGAGUUUUAUUUUAUAGGGUUGUCGUCCCCGUAUUUGUAUCUGCAAUUUGUGUAGUGUUGGAACGGAAGUUUAUGGCUUGAACUUCCAUUUUGGUGGAUAUUCAACUUGGGAAAUAAGUCAUUUAGCGUGGUCCAGUUCCAGUGGAGUUCAUAGCAACCAUGUUGGCUCUUAACAAGCGGACUGAUCCGUUGAAUUACUUGCAAAUUUUGUGCUUGACUAGGGAUCUUUUGUUGAUAAAUAGAUCUUCCUAAGUGUUGGUUUGUAGUUAAUUUGAUUUUUUACCCACAAGUAGUCUUGUUCUUUUUAUCUUCGGUAUUAAACCCCUUGUUUCCUUGGAGAAGCAGCUGUUUUUGUUUCUAUUCGUGUCGUUUUGUUUACUUAGGCUCCUGUACAGUUUGCAAUUUUUUUUUGGGGCUUCAAAUGAUGAUCCAAUGUAGUGGUAAUUCGUACUGUUUCUGUUGCAAAAUGAGGAGUCAGUAUUCUGCAUAUUAGCAAAUGAUUAUUUAUACUUUGUGAUGCUCUUGGAAGUCCUUUAACCAUGGCUUGAUCCUUGUUCGUGUCUCUCUGAUUUGUGGGCGCGGCUAAAUGAUAUCCUUGGUGCAGGUGAAGUUUGUGAUUGUUAUUUGAAGAGGUACCCAAUAUCUGGCCAUUCUUCGCUGUUGUUUUCUUUCUUGCUACAUGUCAUUUUCACAGGUGCAGCUAUUUUUAUUCCAUAUUCGUCUUAUUGUUGGGCAGUGAUGCGGAGAUUGUGGCGGGGGAAGUGAUGCGGAGGGUAAAGAGAAGGAAGCUGAGAAGGUUGGUGUGGAAUAUCAUCAUCAGCCAAAACCAGGUGAUUUUGUGGUUUCUGGCAACGAAAAUAAGCUCGGUGUGAAUAUUGGAUCAGAAUUGUUGGGCACCAGGUUGACAAAGGGGGUUCUGCCCCAGGGAGAUGUGAUUUGAAAAAUGAUGCAGAGGAGGAGUUCGUGGUUUGUGGGAAGAUGAGAAUUGUCAAGGACUGGGAAGGCCAGUUGUGGAGACUGGGAACUGUCCUUUUUGCUGAGGUUCUUGGCAGAACCCUAACCGGUGAAGCUGUACAGGUGCUUGGUGGAGCAGACAACUCGCCACGCACCCGUCUGUGUGGAUUUGUCAGAGAAGGAAUAGAAAUUGAAAGGAAAAUUUGUAAGUAUUAUUUACGAGGAUUAAGAGAAUAAAUAAUUUAAAAUUAGAUAACAGUUUAAAAAAUUUUAAUAGAAUAUAUUUGUAGAUAUAAAUUUUUUUUAAUAAUACGCGUAUUAUUUAAUAAAUUUUUUAGAAAAAAGAAUUAUUAAAAAUUGUAUUGUAAUUAAGAGUGUUUAUUUUAUUGUGGUUUUUUAUUAUAAUAUUUGUAUUUAGAAAAAAUAUUUUUGUCGUUGGGUGAGUAAAAUAUAAAAUGUUUUUGAUAAUAGUUAAAUUGAAAAUUUAUUUUUUUAUAAAUUUAAAAUAAAAAAUUACAAAAGUAACAUGAAUUUUUAUUAAAAAUAAAUGUUAUUAUUAUUGUAUAAAUAAUAACAUAUUUUCACAAUUAUUUAUAAAAAUAUUUUUAAUGGAAAACUCAGUAAGGCAAUAAAAAAAAUAUUAUCUUUUUAAUUUUCUCUCUCUGCCGCUCUUCAUCUUCGGUCUCUGGUUUUCCUUUUUUCUACCCGAGGUUCCGCGUGUUUAUAAAGCACGUAGGUUGCGUCGCGGAGACGCAGCUCAGCUCCUCUAUAAAAGUGCUGAGACUUUCUUUCCUCCUUCCGCCUCUGCUGUCUCCUGAUCCGGUAAGGUUUUCUUCUGAUUGCCCAUUAGAUCUGGUCCCGCUCCGAUCUUCUAGAGAUUGGAGGCGGUCUUCAUUCUCUCUGAACGGAAGAGUGCAGAAAAUAGGGCUCUUCUGCUUCCGAGUCUUCUCUCUUGUGGCGAUUUAGAGGUUGCGUCACGGAGACGCAGCUCAGCUCCUCUAUAAAAGCGCUGAGACUCUCUUUCCUCCUUCCGCCUCUGCCGUCUCCUGAUCCGGUAAGGUUUUCUUUUUGAUUGCCCAUUAGAUCUGGUCCCGCUCCGAUCUUCUAGAGAUUGGAGGCGGUCUUCAUUCUCUCUGAACAGAAGAGUGCAGAAAAUAGGGCUCUUCUACUUCGGAGUCUUCUCUUUUGCGGCGAUUUAGAGGUUGCGUCGCGGAGAGGCAGCUCAGCUCCUCUAUAAAAGCGCUGAGACUCUCUUUCCCCCUUCCGCCUCUUCUGUCUCCUGAUCCGGUAAGGUUUUCUUUCGAUUGCCCAUUAGAUCUGGUCCCGCUCCGAUCUUCUAGAGAUUGGAGGCGGUCUUCAUUUUUUCUGAACGGAAGAGUGCAGAAAUUGGGGCUCUUCU
RNAcentral lists this long non-coding RNA (9338 nucleotides) under Carica papaya (papaya). Its description in RNAcentral is "long non-coding RNA (CPAP_LNC010552)". The record is from RNAcentral. Lineage: Eukaryota; Viridiplantae; Streptophyta; Magnoliopsida; Brassicales; Caricaceae.